This 313-nucleotide ribosomal RNA is filed under the name uncultured Coprococcus sp. RNAcentral describes it as "bacterial SSU rRNA". It matches the Rfam family "Bacterial small subunit ribosomal RNA", at positions 28 to 339 of the family's 1533-position model. Lineage: Bacteria; Bacillati; Bacillota; Clostridia; Lachnospirales; Lachnospiraceae. The record is from RNAcentral.
GAUGAACGCUGGCGGCGUGCUUAACACAUGCAAGUCGAACGGACUUUACUUAGCUUGCUUUGUAAAGUUAGUGGCGGACGGGUGAGUAACGCGUGGGUAACCUGCCUCACACAGGGGGAUAGCAGUUGGAAACGACUGAUAAUACCGCAUAAGCGCACAGUAUGCAUGGUACAGUGUGAAAAACUCCGGUGGUGUGAGAUGGACCCGCGUCUGAUUAGCUUGUUGGUGAGGUAACGGCCCACCAAGGCGACGAUCAGUAGCCGGCCUGAGAGGGUGAACGGCCACAUUGGGACUGAGACACGGCCCAAACUCC